UACGUAGGGUGCAAGCGUUGUCCGGAAUUAUUGGGCGUAAAGAGCUCGUAGGCGGCUUGUUGCGUCGGCUGUGAAAACCCAUGGCUCAACCGUGGGCUUGCAGCCGAUACGGGCAGGCUAGAGUUCGGUAGGGGAGACUGGAAUUCCUGGUGUAGCGGUGAAAUGCGCAGAUAUCAGGAGGAACACCGAUGGCGAAGGCAGGUCUCUGGGCCACUACUGACGCUGAGAAGCGAAAGCAUGGGGAGCGAACAGG
RNAcentral lists this ribosomal RNA (253 nucleotides) under uncultured bacterium. RNAcentral's name for it is "partial 16S ribosomal RNA". It matches the Rfam family "Bacterial small subunit ribosomal RNA", at positions 524 to 776 of the family's 1533-position model. The record is from RNAcentral.